UUAAAGAGGAGAACCUGAAUUCAUUUUCCAGAAAUCAUGUCACAGAUAUAUUUUUUUUCCUUGAACUAAGCAAGUGUGGGAAAAUAUAUCCCAGAAAUUUUUGCUUUAAACCAUGAAAAUAUUUUUUUAGGAUAUUAAAAUACGCUAGGAAAAAAGAGCAUCAAUAGUUUCCAACCUUUCUUGCAGCGUUACCAGAUGUUCCUGAAUGUUAAGCCUGGAUCACUUGUUCAGUUGCAAGUGAAACAAGCUUGAAAAGCAGGCCACUAGCAAGAUCAGCUACCAAUGCAUCAGCCAUGUUUAUGAGUAUAGCUGUUUAGUAAAACAAAUGUUUGUAAUGUAUGGAAAUGUAUAGCAGAUUACAAUGAAAUAAUAUUGCAGAUUCUUGCUUCGAACUGGGUUGAGCAGAAGCCAGUGAAUGAUGGGUAGGGUAGUUAAAUUACAAGUUAAAAUGCAAAUUUCAAUGUGUAGUAAUGCAGAUUCCAAAGAUUUUCGCCAGAAACGAGUGAAUAUUUGCAUUAAAAAUUCAAUUUUUGCCAAUUAAUUAAUACUAAUCUCCCAGUACCCUCCAACUCCAAUACAUUACCUCUAGCACUAGCUAUAAGUUAUCCCUGAGGAAAUAAGAAAUACAAUUCACGUGAUCCUUUCAUUUCUUAUGACUUUCCACUUUUAUAUUUCCUUAUUUUUUGUCUCAAAAUAAUUUGAUUUCCAUUAUUAAUUAAAGCGGAGAAUGUGAAGUCAUUUUCCAGUCUCCAGAAAUCAUGUCAUAUAUUUCAGAGAAAUUAUUCUAGGAUAAUAAAUAUUUUACUUUCUAGGAACUAAACAUAAAACAAGUGCAGGAAAAUAUCAUAAGUUUAUCUAUGCACCAGCUCUCCCUUUGGACAUUCUGGUAUGUAGGUUGGAGUAGUAGGUUGAAUGCAUUGCAUCUAAUAAAUCCUCCCAGAAGGGUCCUAAUUCCAGAUAUUUUAGACCAUAUAUCCAACCCUUUAAUGACAUUAAUAGUAUUCAGGUCAGGCAAAUCAUGCACACUCUUUAAGCCUACGUCAGGUGUCAAGUAUGUCGAUCCCCGUAACUUAUAAGUAAUCCUUAAUAUUAAAUUAAAAUCAUUAAUCUAUCAAAUUUUUUAAAAUCAAUAAUCUAUCAAAUUUAUUUUAUUAAUAUUUUAGUAACUUAUAAGUACUCCAUAAUAUUAAAUUAAAAUCAAUAAUCUGUCAAACUUUCUAUUAUUAUUAUGUUAAUAACUCGGAAAUCAUCUAUAAUACUUAAUUAUCCAAACAGACAUUUUAAGCGAGGCACUUACUACAAGAGCAUCUCCAAUGAGGAUCUUAAAUCACUCUUUAAAAUAUAAUAUAAUAUGUGGCUCAUACUGAGUUAAGAUAUUAAAAAAAGAUGACAACUCUUAUCUAUACUUGCUCCUUAUUCAUAUUUUAUUCCUACAAAUGAGAGGGAAAGUACAAAAACAGAAAUGUUGGAGAUAAAAUUGGAAGAAAAUUAAUAUUAUAUUCAUAAAUAAAAAGCUAAGAGCUACUAGAUGCUCUUUAAAGAGAGGAAAAAUGCCGGCUCUUACAUUUUUAAAGAGUUUUCAGGAGCCCAGUCGAGCUCUAAUUUUCAUCUUACUCUUUAAAUUUGAAAUUAAAAGCUUGUUUAGAGAGUCUGUUGAAAAUACGAGGCAUACCCAUAUAUUGAAGGAUGAAGGCUGGUGCACCAUUUGCGAAAUGAAUUAAGUAUUUGGUAAAAUUCAAAUGUAGGAGUAAUAUAUAUGAUGCAUCAAAUAUUUAUCAUGAGACCAUGAGUAAAAUUAACUUGACAUAUACGUAUUAUUUUAUCAACUUCAACGAAAUAACGAAUGUCUUUUAUUAUUUCUUAACUAUUAUAUUGCAUGAUUAGAUGUCAAAGUGCAUGAUAAUUGCCUCGCUUGAUUCGUAUUUAGAAUAGAGCAAGUUUAUUAUGUGUUGUUAACUAACAAAUAACAAUGAUAGAAUACAGAAAUGUAACAGACCUCAUUCAAAUUUUCUUAACAUCACUGUAUGACGUUACUCUCAUCAGCCGAGCCCCACUAUUUGUUUGAUGUGUUGGAUUUUGGACCAUUCCGGCCCACUUCCCCUCCUGUAUCUUUCUUUUAUUAUAGGACAUCCAAUUAUAUCCAGGUACUGAAAGUUGUGAUGGAACUUUGGCAAACUCUCCAAAUUUCCACAAUUCCAAAUAUAUAAACUCUCCAGAAAUGGAAGCUUUGCUAGUGAGAUGGGAAGAGAUUUCACUCCUUUAAAACUGUCUAUCCAUAAUUGACGCAAGGCAGGGAAGAUGGAGGAGAGAUAAUCAUCAGGUUGGCCUUCAUCCACUAUCCACUUUAGCUUUUCCCACCCACUCACUGUUAGCUUGAUUACAUUGGGAAAAGAAAAAGACAAAGGCCAUGGGAAUUCAUCUAAAUCCUCUGAGAAUGGUCCUAAUUCCAAUCUUUCAAUUGUACAACUCACACUUUGGGCAAACACCUCAUAGUUCAGACACUUCGAAAUGGAAAGAUAUUUUAGAGCAUCCGACCCUUUGACAAUAUUAAUAGUAUUCAGGUCUGGCAAAUCACUCACACAUAAACUCUUUAAACCUGCGCCGAGUGUCAAAUGUGUCAAUCCCUGUAACUUUAUUACCCUCAAAGUUUCCAAAGAGACAGAAUUGUUUUUCAAGAGCUUGCCGAUUAUGCAGUUCAUACUUGAAGAAGAACAAGAUGAGGAGGAGGAGCAUCCUACUCUGCCACUGAUAUUAUCGAGGUAUACACCUGUGAGGCCGCAUGCCUUUUCGCUCAUUGAUUCCAGUAGCUUGCUGUUGUCCAAGUCUUUGAUCUUCAGAGUCUUCAUCAACGGAUAACAACUUCCCGGAAUCCUUGUCAACUUUGGACAUCCCCAAAUAAUUAACUCCACGAGUUCAGAAAAUGCUAGCACAUUAUUUCGGUCUUCAUCGCUUGUAUCCGUGGCUGGGUCUAGCCAUUCUUCUAGCUUUGGCAUAUUGUUUAAAGAAAGAUUUUUCAAUGACGGAUACAUUGUUAAAACUGUUUCUUCUGCCCCAUCAUCAUUUAACUCACCACUAAUGCUACCCUGUCUACCUCCACAUAAAUGGCUGCUUAUAACCUUGACGUUAUCCAUCCCUUCUAUAUCGAUCAUCCGCAAUUUAGGAAGAUGACCCAGCUGUGGAAACUCUUCACAUCUGUUGCAAUUUAUGAAGGUGAUAACUUCCAAGUUUGUCAUGAUUGUAAUCCAUGCUGCAAACUUCUUUCCCAUAAAGUUCUCAACAAUCAAUUCUCUUAGAUUUGCAUGAGGUUCUAAUCCUUCCAUCACAUCCUCAUGGUUGUUUUCUUUUUCUUCCAUCACAUCUUUAUUCUUUCUCCAGUCUAACUGUAAUCGCUCAAUAUUCGAUUUUGUAAGCAAACUCGCCUUCCUGGCUUCUUCCAUAUUCUCUACAUCACUAAGGCCAUAAAGCGUCAGAGUACCUUGAAGAUUUCUUAAACUUCCCAGUUGUCCAAUAACACAUUGAUGAUCUCUACUCACAAUAAAAAAAGGCAGCGUUUGGAGACAAGUUAACCUCUCUAUCCGAGAAAACACAGUGAUGAUGUCCGAAUUCUCAAAGUCGUAGUAAGGCGCAUCGACCAGAAUAUGUCUUAAAUUGAUUAAGUUGCAAAUAUUUCUUGGAAGCUGUGUUACACUCCGAACGCUCAAUGUCUGCAAGUUGUAGAGUCUCGUAAUGUAAUCAGGUAAUUUAUUCUUAGUCAUGUAGCAUCUUGAGAUAUCCAGAUACUUAAGAUACUUCAGAGUGCUCAAUGAACUUGGCAACGGAUCAUCUUCGAAGGUUCCUUCGAGAACCAAACCAAUUAAGUGACUGGGGUAAGGCACCAAGUCCUUGACGAUGGGAGCAUCUGCGUAUAAUACUUGUACUUUCUCAAAAUUUCUCUUAAGAAGGGGUGGCUUAAUAUUUGUAAUCCCUUUAUCAACCUUCACAUAUAUGGCCUUGGAAAUAUCGUUUAACUCAUGACCAUCAGCCUUCACCGUUGCAGAAUGAUUUCUGGAUAGAUCUAGUGCUAGAUCAUGCACCAGAUCAUGCAUCUUGUAAUCACGUAUGUCGCCAUUUUGUAACAAACAAUUCCCCAACAAUAUGUUAAAGUAUUCCCUCCCUAUAUCUUCCAUAAGCUUAUUGCUACCUUUAGGGGGCAAAAGGAAUCCUAAUGCCAUCCAUAUACGUACCAUUUCAUCUUUUGAGAUACGAGAAUCCUUUGGCAAAAUUGAACAAUAUGCAAAACAUUUCUUUAGAGAAGAAUGAGGUAGAUUAUCAUAAGACAACCUCAAGGAAGGCAAUACAUCAUCGUUCGAAUCCCACGUUGCACUAUCUUGAAUCCGCAACCACUCUUGCUCAGACUUCUUAGAGUGCAGUAAACCCCCUAGUGCAUUUAUUGCCAAAGGCAGGCCACCACACCUUUCCACCAUUUCUCUUCCCAUGGCAGCAAAUCUCGCCGUCUCUAUGACUCCUCCUCGUGAAAAUGCUCUUCGCUUGAACAAUUCCCAGCUAUCUUCUUCUGAUAGUUUCUCCACCCUAUGAGUAAUAAAACAGCGCAUGACAUCAACGACUUUCUGUUUGCGAGUCGUAACUAAAAUCAUGCUUCCACUCGCUCCACCAACCCCGAGCAAGGAAUCCCUUAACUUAUUCCACUUCUCUGUUCUCUCAUUCCAGACAUCAUCUAAGACGAGUAAAAACUUUACGUCCCUUAGAAAGCUUUGAAGUUUCUUAAUGAGUCCCUCUGUAUUUUCCAACACCGAAGCAGUUGAAGUGAGUGAUGCUACCAUUUGAUUUAAAAUUUUCAUGAAAUCAAAGUCAUCCGAUACAGUGACCCACAUCCUCUUCUUGAACAUAUCGGUUACAACAUCUCUGUUGUAAACCAUACGAGCAAGAGUUGUUUUGCCUUGACCUCCCAUCCCCAUUACAGCAAUGACUGGUAAAUCCUCUGCAUGAUUUGUGCACACUGUUUUGACUAAAAAUGAUAUUUCAUCAUCUCUUCCAACUAUUAGUGACUCGUCUUCAAAGGGGGGAGUAUUGCGGAUUUCCCUGGCCUGCACAGUAGUAGUUAAUUGCGCCAAAGUCCCAGAUCUCUGGCCAAUUGAAAAAUUUUGUCGAAAGAAGUAUGGAUAGACUUGAUCUUAUGAGCAACCUUAAAACGAUAAAGUAUGCUCUUCUUCGUAGAAAAAAAGUCCCUCACCUUACUACGAUUUUCAACCUUUUGCCGAGUGACUUCGUAAGCAAGUUCAUCCAUGAAAGCAUCAGCUACAUGAGCAACAUCCUCCAGCUUGUUGAACCAGCUCUGGACAGCAGACAUGUUUAGCCUUUUGCUAUCAGCAUCGGACAAGAGAGCAUCAAUAGUUUCCAACCUUUCUCCCAGCGUUACCAAAUCUUCCUGAAGAUUCCAAGCCUGGAUCAAUUCUUCAGCUGCAAGUGAAACAAGCUUGACAACCAGGCCACUAGCAAGAUCAGCCACAAAUGCAUCAACCAUGUUUGUAUAGCUGUAUAGGAAAAGAAAUGUUUGUAAUGUAUGGAGAUUAUAAUUUGAUACUCCAGAACUUCCAAUGCGUUGAAGUUAAGUAACAAUGAAAUAAUGCAGAUUCUUGGCCCGAAUACAAUUUGCACAAAAAAUACAAUUUGUGUCAGCAUCAACUCGUCAACUGAAUCAACUACCCUUGCCAACUAAUCUCACCAACUCCAGUACAUUACCUCUAGCACUAUAUAUAAGUUAAUGCCCAGGAAAUUAAAAAUGACCAUCCGUCUACCCCUGCUUAUUGGUUUGUUUCUUGUGACUUUCCAUUUUCUUAUUUCCACAUUUUUUUGCCCAAAAAUAAAUUGAUUUUCCAGAAACUAAGAACCAACUCCGCCGUGAAAAGCCCUUAGACUAUAAAUUGAGUUAGAUGCCAAAAAUAAAAAAAUAUAGAUAAUUUUUUUAAAACUCACUCAAAACAUAUAUGUAACUGCCACAUCAUCAAUUACCAUAUUAAAAAAAUACAUUUUAUUUAUAAUAAUUUCAAAAUAAUAAUAUAUUAUUUUUAAAAUAUAACCAAUCAAUAUUAUCGAAAUAAAAAGUUUUACAGCUUGAGCAAAUUUUACAUAAUGUUUCAAUUUAGCCAAACAUAUAACCGACCUAAUUAGAGAUGCUCUCAACAAGCGUUGAACAUAUUUUUCAAAAGUUUUGAUUUUGAACAAUAAAAAUAUUUUUAAGAAUCAAUACCCUUUAUUAAUAAGCGAAACCACGUUUCAGUUGAACAUCAGUACGAAAACACCAAAAUUUGGUCAUCAUAUAUUAUAUUUAAUUAUUAUUAUUAUAUCAUUAUUAUACUCCUAUUAAAAGUAUUAUACUCCAAUUAAAAGAUAUAAGACAUAUAUAUUGUUCAGGACUUUUUUACAUAACAAUUAUUCAUGAUAUCAUUCUAUCCCAAUAUAACUAAAUAUUUUAAUUUAGGGUAAGAAGGGUAGUUUAUAAACAGAGAUAUUACUCGAAGUGAAGGUACUCUAAUUAGUAUAUUGUUCAUUUAAACAUUAUAUGUAAUUUUUCGAGUUUUUUGAUUCAUAUAUAUAUGUAUAUUUUAUCUGGUUCUUUAGUUUUGUGAUCAAUUUAUUGUCCAUAUAUAAUACUCUUGCACGAGUCCAUAUAUACAAAUGAAAUUCUUACUUCGCUGCAAUAAACAUGGGUAUUUAUGAUGGAUAACUUAUUACGAAAAAGGUGGGCGCACAUAAUUAACUUAUAAUGGAAAGACAAAAUCGUCAAAUGAUAUAAUACAAACAUAUGACAGACACAGCUCCCGUCGUAUUAUAAGAUGUGUGUAAUAAAAUUUUAGCACUAACAGAUAAAAUAGCAAUAAUAUUAUUUCACGCAUCAAAAUCGUCGCAAGUUCGCGUCGUAAUAUUGCUGAAGACCAAGUUAAAUGUCGUUCUAAAAGCGUUGUCUUAAAAAAAUGCGCGGUCCAAAUAAAUAUGAUAGCUUUUACCGUAAUAUAUACAAAUGAUAGUCCAACUCUUAUAAUUAUAAAUCCAAAAUCAGCCCUCCACAACUUACGACCGUAUUUUUGUCGUAAUAUCAAUGAUACUACCGUCGAACCUAUCAUCGUAAAAUCUAUUCCAAAAAGUGAGUGAGGGUCCCAUAUAUUACUAACGACGACAAUUUUGUCGUAAAAUACUAUAACUAACGAUAGUAUAUUUGUCGUAAAUAUAUUGGUCCCACAGUAAUAAGGGUAAUGAAUUCUAUUUUUAUUUAUUAAAAAGUUUUGAAGACACGUAUUAUUUUUAUUUCUUAGUCUUUUUUAGUAAAAAAUGCUUUGCUUAUACUUUCUUACUACACGUGGUUGAUAACAAUGCUUGCAACUUCAAAAUAUAUAACAUUUAUCAAUAGUUUAAUUUCAAAAGUUUAUAUUAAUUAAUCCAAAUGUAAGUGUCACUUAUUUCUUUUAUUUAUUAAAUGUAUCAAAGACCAAUCUCUAAUAAGAAGAUAUGAAGAAUGUGAAUUAACUAUCUUGCAAUAUUUGAUUAUCCACGUAACUACAUAAUAAUAAAGUGUACAUGUCUAUAUACCUAUCAUUAUACGUAGAUACAGUCAUUCAGACUUAUUUAUUUAGUUUAACGUAUAAUUUAAAAUUCUAUUAAUAUAAUGUCCAGAUUGACGUAUAAUGUUGAGUUUGAUGAAUAAUUUCACUUUAAUGUUCUUGACAUAUAAUAAACUUAAAUAUUACAAAAUUAUGUCUAACAUAAAAUUUUCGACCUAAUUUGUAUGUGAAAAUUAAAAUAUUAUUUAGUAUCAAAUUUAUUUUGAAAUAAUAAUAAACAAACAAUAAAUAAUUGACGCCCGUGCGCGGAACGUAAUACUCUGUCUCCUAAUAAUAGUGGGACGAUGCAUUCUCAGAGCAUGUUACCUGGCUCAAUGCUGAACGCGGGCCUCUAUUUUAAACUAAUUAAAUCAAUUUGUGAUAUAUACUAUGAUUGAUAGAUCAAAUCAUCACAGAUGACAAAACUAUCUUCUAAUAUGUGUGUUCUGUAGAAAAAGGAAGGAUAGAAUUUCAGACCGCAUGCAUUGAUGCUAACCAAGAUUUAAAAACACUCAAGACAAUAGUUUUGAUCAAUAUUGGUAAGGUUGUCUAACAAACCACUAUUAAUGCUGAGGAUCUAAACUUCUUCUGUUUAAAGUUUUUGUUUUUCUAUCUCUCUUUAUAUACUAAUAUAGGACAAUCAAGCCCAAAUAUUUGUUUGAUGUGUUGGAUUUUGGACCAUUCCGGGCCACUUCCCUUCAUGUAUCUUUCUUCUAUUAUAGGACAGUCAAAUAUCAUCAGGUACUGAAGAUUGUCAUGGAACUUUAGCAAACUCUCCAAAUUUGCACAACCAGUAAUAGAUAAGCUCUCUAGAAAUGGAAGCUUUGCUAGUGAAAUGGGAAGAGAUUUCACUCCUCUAAACAAAUCUAUGUGUAAUUGACGCAAGGCAGGAAAGAUGGAGAAGAGAUAAUCAUCAGGUUUCCCUUCAUCCACUAUCCACUUUAGCUUUUUCCACCCAGUCACUGUUAGCUUGAUUACAUUGGGAAAAGAAAAGGAUGAGGGCCAUGGGAAUUCAUCUAAAUCCUCCGAGAAGUCUCCUAAUUCCAAAGAUUCAAUUGUAGAACUCACAUUUUGGGCAAGCACCUCAUUGUUCGGACACCUCAAAAUAGAAAGAUCUUUUAGAGCAUCGACCAUUUGAUUGUUUUCAGGUCAGGCAAAUCAUGCACACUUAAGCUCUUU
Molecule: long non-coding RNA, 8774 nt
Filed under: Daucus carota (carrot)
Lineage: Eukaryota; Viridiplantae; Streptophyta; Magnoliopsida; Apiales; Apiaceae
Description: long non-coding RNA (DCAR_LNC001681)
Source: RNAcentral